UCCUCUGGUCCACGUAAACACCGUCACAUAUCUACAGCUCCUCGGUGCUCAUUCUGACUGCUACCGCCGCGAACAUUUACAGUCUGCCAGCAGAAAGAAAAAUAUUUUUCUCUUCUUUCCGGAGACGCGUAACAAUGUUGCGGUGCGCUUUUGGCCGAGGAUGAAGAGGCUGAAGGCGGCACUGUGGCUCAGCGUCCUGCUCCUGUUGUGUCUUCCCAUCGUUUUGGAGAACGGCAGCACUGCUGGAACUGGAAAGAGCACUAAGCCGAGUUUAGAUCGGACGAAUCAGGAAACCCACGCCUCCAGCAUCCUGAAAGAAAAGAUCGUUGCCGCCACC
Silurus meridionalis is the source of this 337-nucleotide long non-coding RNA. RefSeq lists it as uncharacterized. The transcript has 3 exons. The record is from RefSeq and is a predicted model, not a curated record. NCBI's taxonomy places the organism in Eukaryota, Metazoa, Chordata, Actinopteri, Siluriformes, Siluridae.